RNAcentral lists this ribosomal RNA (421 nucleotides) under uncultured bacterium. RNAcentral's name for it is "partial 16S ribosomal RNA". It matches the Rfam family "Bacterial small subunit ribosomal RNA", at positions 360 to 773 of the family's 1533-position model. The record is from RNAcentral.
AAUAUUGGACAAUGGGCGAAAGCCUGAUCCAGCCAUGCCGCGUGUGUGAAGAAGGUCUUCGGCUUGUAAAGCACGUUAAGUUGGGAGGAAGGGCAGUAGGCUAAUACCUUGCUGUUUUGACGUUACCGACAGAAUAAGCACCGGAUAACUUCGUGCUAGCAGCCGCGGUAAUACGAAGGGUGCAAGCGGUAAUCGGAAUUACGGGGCGUAAAACGCGCGUAGGUGGUUUGGUAAUUUGGAAGUUAAAGCCCCGGGCUAAACCUGGGAACUGCUUUCAAAACUGGCAAGCUAGAGUAGUGCAGAAGGUGGUGGAAUUUCCUGUGUAGCGGUGGAAUGCGUAGAUAUAGGAAGGAACACCAGUGGCGAAGGCGACCACCUGGGCUAAUACUGACAAUGAAGUGCGAAAUCGUUGGGGGCAAAC